Molecule: ribosomal RNA, 496 nt
Filed under: uncultured bacterium
Lineage: Bacteria
Description: partial 16S ribosomal RNA
Rfam family: Bacterial small subunit ribosomal RNA
Source: RNAcentral
CUUCCCUCUGGCGGCGUGCCUAAUCCAUGCAAGUCGAGCGAACAGACGAGGAGCUUGCUCCUCUGACAUUAGCGGCGGACGGGUGAGUAACACGUGGAUAACCUACCUAUAAGACUGGGGUAACUUCGGGAAACCGGAGCUAAUACCGGAUAAUAUAUUGAACCGCAUGGUUCAAUAGUGAAAGACGGUUUUGCUGUCACUUAUAGAUGGAUCCGCGCCGCAUUAGCUAGUUGGUAAGGUAACGGCUUACCAAGGCAACGAUGCGUAGCCGACCUGAGAGGGUGAUCGGCCACACUGGAACUGAGACACGGUCCAGACUCCUACGGGAGGCAGCAGUAGGGAAUCUUCCGCAAUGGGCGAAAGCCUGACGGAGCAACGCCGCGUGAGUGAUGAAGGUCUUCGGAUCGUAAAACUCUGUUAUUAGGGAAGAACAAAUGUGUAAGUAACUAUGCACGUCUUGACGGUACCUAAUCAGAAAGCCACGGCUAACUACGUG